GGGCCCGCACAAGCGGUGGAGCAUGUGGUUUAAUUCGAUGAUACGCGAGGAACCUUACCAGGACUUAAAUGUAAGUUGCAUGAUUCAGAAAUGAAUCUUUCUUCGGACUACUUACAAGGUGCUGCAUGGUUGUCGUCAGCUCGUGCCGUGAGGUGUCAGGUUAAGUCCUAUAACGAGCGCAACCCCUAUCGUUAGUUGCCAUCAAGUAAAGUUGGGAACUCUAGCGAAACUGCCGGUGCAAACCGCGAGGAAGGUGGGGAUGACGUCAAAUCAUCACGGCCCUUACGUCCUGGGGCCACACACGUGCUACAAUGGCCGGUACAGAGAGCAGCCACGUCGCAAGGCGGAG
Molecule: ribosomal RNA, 349 nt
Filed under: uncultured bacterium
Lineage: Bacteria
Description: bacterial SSU rRNA
Rfam family: Bacterial small subunit ribosomal RNA
Source: RNAcentral